RNAcentral lists this ribosomal RNA (279 nucleotides) under uncultured bacterium. RNAcentral's name for it is "partial 16S ribosomal RNA". It matches the Rfam family "Bacterial small subunit ribosomal RNA", at positions 506 to 784 of the family's 1533-position model. The record is from RNAcentral.
UGCCAGCAGCCGCGGUAAUACAGAGGUGGCAAGCGUUGUUCGGUAUCACUGGGCUUAAAGGGCACGUAGGCGGCAUGGCGCGGUUCGGGUGAAAUCCCUCGGCUCAACCGAGGAACUGCCUGGGCAACGGCCAAGCUAGACGGCAUCAGGGGAAGGUGGAACUCCCGGUGGAGCGGUGAAAUGUGUAGAUAUCGGGAGGAACGCCGGUGGCGAAAGCGACCUUCUGGGGUGCUUGUGACGCUGAGGUGCGAAAGCUAGGGGAGCGAACGGGAUUAGAUA